AUGGCAGAUAAUGGUAAGGCAAAAUUAGGCUCAGGAGCAGCCCAUACAAUCAGUCUAGAGACCUUCAGUAAGCGGCUUAAGGUGUUUUAUGACCAUUGGAACAAAAAUAAGUCUCAUCUUUGGGGUUCUUCUGAUGCCAUUGCAAUUGCGACUCCGCCUCCUUCUGAGGAUAUCUGUUAUUUGAAAUCCACAGCUCAGGAUUUUCCAGAAACCAUAAUCGUCUUCAUGCAGAAGCAGAUGCAUUUCUUAUGCAGCCAGAAGAAAGCAAAUCUCAUUGGAACCAUCAAGAAUGCUGCAAGUGAGGCUGUUGGUUUUGAUGCAUGUGAAAAGCAAGAAUGGGGAUGGCAUUGA
This 351-nucleotide ribosomal RNA is filed under the name Triticum aestivum (bread wheat). Its description in RNAcentral is "partial small subunit ribosomal RNA". Lineage: Eukaryota; Viridiplantae; Streptophyta; Magnoliopsida; Poales; Poaceae. The record is from RNAcentral.